GACAGAGGUGCCGAGCGUUAGGCGGAAUCACUGGGCUUAAAGCGUGUGUAGGCGGACCCCUAAGCGCCAUCGUGAAAUCCCGCCGCUCAACGGCGGAACCGCGUGGCGGACUGGGGGUCUUGAGGGACCCAGGGGCGAGCGGAACAGGCGGUGGAGCGGUGAAAUGCGUAGAUAUCGCCUGGAACGCCGACGGUGAAAACAGCUCGCUGGGGGUCAUCUGACGCUGAGACACGAAAGCCAGGGGAGCGAACGGG
Molecule: ribosomal RNA, 254 nt
Filed under: uncultured bacterium
Lineage: Bacteria
Description: partial 16S ribosomal RNA
Rfam family: Bacterial small subunit ribosomal RNA
Source: RNAcentral